This 467-nucleotide ribosomal RNA is filed under the name uncultured bacterium. RNAcentral's name for it is "partial 16S ribosomal RNA". It matches the Rfam family "Bacterial small subunit ribosomal RNA", at positions 29 to 507 of the family's 1533-position model. The record is from RNAcentral.
ACGCACGCUGGCGGCGUGCCUAACCCAUGCAAGUCGAACGGAAAGGCCCUGCUUUUGUGGGGUGCUCGAGUGGCGAGGGGGUGAGUAACACGUGAGUCACCUGCCCUUGACUUUGGGAUAACUUCAGGAGACUGGGGCUAAUACCGGAUAGGAGCUCCUGCUGCAUGGUGGGGGUUGGAAAGUUUCGGCGGUUGGGGAUGGACUCGCGGCUUAUCAGCUUGUUGGUGGGGUAGUGGCUUACCAAGGCUUUGACGGGUAGCCGGCCUGAGAGGGUGACCGGCCACAUUGGGACUGAGAUACGGCCCAGACUCCUACGGGAGGCAGCAGUGGGGAAUAUUGCACAAUGGGCGGAAGCCUGAUGCAGCAACGCCGCGUGCGGGAUGACGGCCUUCGGGUUGUAAACCGCUUUCGCCUGUGACGAAGCGUGAGUGACGGUAAUGGGUAAAGAAGCACCGGCUAACUACGUG